This 301-nucleotide ribosomal RNA is filed under the name uncultured bacterium. RNAcentral's name for it is "partial 16S ribosomal RNA". It matches the Rfam family "Bacterial small subunit ribosomal RNA", at positions 509 to 807 of the family's 1533-position model. The record is from RNAcentral.
CAGCCGCCACGGUAAUACGUAGGGUGCAAGCGUUAAUCGGAAUUACUGGGCGUAAAGCGUGCGCAGGCGGUUUUGUAAGACAGAGGUGAAAUCCCCGGGCUCAACCUGGGAACUGCCUUUGUGACUGCAAGGCUAGAGUACGGCAGAGGGGGAUGGAAUUCCGCGUGUAGCAGUGAAAUGCGUAGAUAUGCGGAGGAACACCGAUGGCGAAGGCAAUCCCCUGGGCCCGUACUGACGCUCAUGCACGAAAGCGUGGGGAGCAAACAGGAUUAGAUACCCGUGUAGUCCCUGUCUCUUAUAC